AUAAGCACUAUAGCUAGGUCUUCAAUAAGAUAAAUAAAACUGGGUAUUGUUUAAAAUGGUCUAAUUAUUGGUGCGUUAAACAGCAUGCAAUGUGAUUGCCAGCAGUCCAACUCACUGCUUUGUGUUUUAUGUAUUUUUUAUUUUACUUAUUUGUUUACUUAUUUUUCUAACAAAAUAGAAAUAUAUUUUAUUGCCCCACAGUGGGGAAAUCCCAGUUUCACAGCAGCAAGUUCAGUGUGAGCAUUUAUAUUUACACAAAGGUAAAACAACAGUAACAACAAAAACAAUAUUCAAUAAGUAAGGACAACAUUUACAACAUCAGAAAUUAAUACUGUGCAUGAAAAACAUCAUACUCUGUAUACAAGGCUUUAAAUGAAUUAAUUUUUGUUUUUAUUUUAAAUCUGUAUUUAAAAAAUAUAAACAUAAUUUUAAAAAAGCUAUUCCACCAAAUUUAUUGUAAUUUUGUACAGUAUUAAUUCAGUACAAAACACACCUUUAAAUGAAGAUUAUACAAAUGUUAUUUUUUCCCUUUAAUAUAUGAUGCUAAAAAAUGUGAAAAAAAAGACAUUAGAAAAAAAAACAUGUUUAUCUUGUUAUUAAACAGUUAAUAAAAUCUUUAAAAAAGAAUGUACAUCACAGUGAUCUAGAUUCAUUAUUCUUUCUGAGUUCACUGUAAAAAUUUAGAAAAGGUCACAUUUCUGCAAACUGGUUGUAUUUAAAGGUUGAAAACGAACACAGCCUAUUACAACAUCUUAACUUUAUUUCUUGUCAUUCAGA
Molecule: long non-coding RNA, 777 nt
Organism: Poecilia latipinna (sailfin molly)
Lineage: Eukaryota; Metazoa; Chordata; Actinopteri; Cyprinodontiformes; Poeciliidae
Exons: 3
Source: RefSeq, a predicted model, not a curated record